GGCAGGGCGAGGCGGCGGCGGAGGCGCCGACCACCCCCUACGUGGGGCUGCGGCGGCCGCUGGGCUACAAGCUGGCCAAGGCCACCAAGGAGCGGAUCUGGCGGGGGGAGUUCAUUGACCUCUUUUCCUUGCUCCACACAGAGCUGGCCCCCGAGCACGGCCCGCGCCCGGGGGACACGCUGGACCAGUGGGUCUCUGCCUUCCUGGUGUACGCCAGCGUGCUGUGCGAGAAGCACCCGGCGCGCUGCGGAGCCAUGUUCAAGUACCUGGACACCAUCCGCAAGCUGCACGCCACCUACGGGGGCACCUCCUGGAUGAACUACGACGAGGACUUUAGGCGGCGGGCGGCGAAGAACCCCUCUCUGCCCUGGGGUGACGUCGACCUGGACCUGUGGAUGAAGUGGAUGGCGCCGCUCAAGUCCCUUGUCCCCAGGCACUCGCGGGUUGAGGGCGAGACACAGCCCUCGCCGGCCCCGCCGCCCCCGCCGGCGCAGAGCCCCAAGCAGGAGGAGAAAAGCCAGACUCCAUGAAAACAGAAGGCCAGUUGGGAUGGCAGUCAGACUAAUUGGCCUGACUCCGUUGGUGUUUAAGUGGAGCUCUGGUAUUCUAGUGCAUUCUUUUACCUCUGCUUCUGUUGCGUUGCAAGCUGUGCUAGAGAAGACGUAGGAAAUUCAUUUUACCCAAUCAGCAAUUAUAACAAUGGACUACAAACCUGCAGAGCAAGCCAGUUUGCUGGAAAACAGGAAUUCCUGCAGCGCAGCACUUGUCACAGACUAUCCAAAGAGGGCAAAGAUUCAGGAAGGUGAAUAAAUUGAACCUUGGUUGAAUGAGGUCA
RNAcentral lists this long non-coding RNA (835 nucleotides) under Lepidothrix coronata (blue-crowned manakin). RNAcentral's name for it is "lncRNA (ENSLCOG00000002493.1)". The record is from RNAcentral. Lineage: Eukaryota; Metazoa; Chordata; Aves; Passeriformes; Pipridae.